CCCUAGUAUGAGAUAUUAAUUUUUAAUUAGUAAAUGGAUAAAAAUUAAAAAUUUUGGCGGUUAUUUUGAGGUUAGAGAAGCUUGUCAGUAAUAAGUAAAUACUCUUUAAAUUUUAAUUAAAUAAAAAAGUUCAUUCAUCUCCAUUAUGAAAGUAAAUUAAUUUAAUUAAUUGAGGUAGGUCAAGAUGUGAUUAAUUUUAAUUUAGGAUUAGCUGUAAUAUAUAAAUAUAGAUAUUUGAUUAAGAAAUUAAAAGGAAAAUUAAUUUAAUUGUAAUAGUAAUUAGAAAGUUAUUAUGAAAUAUAAAAAUAGCGUA
This 313-nucleotide ribosomal RNA is filed under the name Metabalta aff. albipes MZSP 73014. Its description in RNAcentral is "partial small subunit ribosomal RNA". The record is from RNAcentral. Lineage: Eukaryota; Metazoa; Arthropoda; Arachnida; Opiliones; Gonyleptidae.